GGGGCGCCUGUGUCAUUUCCUAUCGAGAAGAAAGUAACCGUUUGAAUAAAAGCAGUUUUAAGUCAAAAUGUGCCUUUGAAAUCAAUAAUUUAUGAUCUCUUAAAAAUGUGGUUAUAUUUUAAUUUGUCCCCAGGUCAGGGGUUUCAUGAAUGACCUGAAUGGAUAAAUGCUGCUUUCUCGCCAACUAAUACAGCUCCUGGAUUUUGCUAUCCUUUGUCCUGUAGUAACCCUCAGCAACAAGUAUUUAACUUGGAUUUUACUCAUUAGAUACAGUACACUUAGGAAUUAGUAUACAAAUUCUAUUAUAGAUCCUGUAGGAAACAUUCUAGGUUUACAGAAUAAAGUAAACUUCAUGUAUACUCUGCUUUACUAGUAAACUAAGUAUACUUCAAGUACACUUAAAUAGAAUAUUUUUUGCUAAGGUAAAGAUUUAGUGAAAUUUCCAUAAGGAAGAUCCGAAUCACUUAUGUUACAGUCAUAAAUAAAAUUGUCACCAUGCAAUCAUGGCGAGGUAUCUGCUAAAUCUUCAAGAUUUCAUGCCGUUGCCUGUUUUGUUUUGUUUUUUUACUGUUGGCAGGAUCAUGAAUGUAGUGGACGGUGUCUAAAACUGUGACUUCCGCCUCCCGAUUACAAAUGCCGCCAGAAUUUAGAUUGCUGCGCCGUGUUGUUUUGUGAUUACAGACGCUUCAGCAGCCCUCCUCCACCUGGAGCGAUUCUUUGGCGUGGUCUGGCCUCCAACACCAUCAAUAACUAGACUGGGAUUCAUUCAUUUAUGGUCCUAGUUCAUCAUCAGCCCAGAGAAUAACCACUGAAGAUCAUGGAUUUAUAUCAAGCACAUUUGACUGUAUCACAAAAAAAUCUUUACUUGCAUUUGGAAUAUCUGUCCUUAUUGAAAUAUUCAGAGCUCUCAAGGAACAUGGAACGUGGUUCCGUACAGAGCAGCUGCUCUCUAUUUUUCAUCCUGUUUUGUUUCCUCUUUGCUGUUAUGGCAAAUAAAGUGAAACUUAAUUCA
This is a long non-coding RNA of Oryzias melastigma (Indian medaka), 1012 nucleotides long. RefSeq lists it as uncharacterized. The transcript has 2 exons. Lineage: Eukaryota; Metazoa; Chordata; Actinopteri; Beloniformes; Adrianichthyidae. The record is from RefSeq and is a predicted model, not a curated record.